AUUGAACGCUGGCGGCAUGCUUUAUACAUGCAAGUCGAACGGUAACAGGCCGCAAGGUGUUGCCGCGUGGGGCACGGGUGAGUAAUGUAUCGGAACGCGCCCCGACGAGGGGGAUAUAGACCCGCAAGAGCAGCUAAUAUCGCAUACGAGCUAUGGAUGUAAACGGGGGACCGUAAAACCUCGCGCGCUUUUAGCGGCCGAUGUCUGAUUAGGUAGUUGGUGGGGUAAAGGCUCACCAAGCCAACGAUCUGUAGCUGGUCUGAGAGGACGACCAGCCACACUGGGACUGAGACACGGCCCAGACUCCUACGGGAGGCAGCAGUGGGGAAUUUUGGACAAUGGGCGCAAGCCUGAUCCAGCAAUGCCGCGUGCAGGAAGAAGGCCUUCGGGUUGUAAACUGCUUUUGUACGGGACGAAACGGUUCUGGUUAAUACCCGGGGCUAAUGACGGUACCGGAAGAAUAAGCACCGGCUAACUACGUG
Molecule: ribosomal RNA, 482 nt
Filed under: uncultured bacterium
Lineage: Bacteria
Description: partial 16S ribosomal RNA
Rfam family: Bacterial small subunit ribosomal RNA
Source: RNAcentral